GACACUGAGGUGCGAAAGCGUGGGUAGCAAACAGGAUUAGAUACCCUGGUAGUCCACGCCGUAAACGAUGUCGACCAGCCGUUGGGUGCCUAGCGCACUUUGUGGCGAAGUUAACGCGAUAAGUCGACCGCCUGGGGAGUACGGCCGCAAGGUUAAAACUCAAAUGAAUUGACGGGGGCCCGCACAAGCGGUGGAGCAUGUGGUUUAAUUCGAUGCAACGCGAAGAACCUUACCUACUCUUGACAUCCUGCGAAUUUGGUAGAGAUACCUUAGUGCCUUCGGGAACGCAGAGACAGGUGCUGCAUGGCUGUCGUCAGCUCGUGUUGUGAAAUGUUGGGUUAAGUCCCGUAACGAGCGCAACCCUUGUCCUUAUUUGCCAGCGCGUAAUGGCGGGAACUCUAAGGAGACUGCCGGUGACAAACCGGAGGAAGGUGGGGACGACGUCAAGUCAUCAUGGCCCUUACGAGUAGGGCUACACACGUGCUACAAUGGUCGGUACAAAGGGUUGCCAACUCGCGAGAGUGAGCCAAUCCCGAAAAGCCGAUCUCAGUCCGGAUCGGAGUCUGCAACUCGACUCCGUGAAGUCGGAAUCGCUAGUAAUCGUAGAUCAGAAUGCUACGGUGAAUACGUUCCCGGGCCUUGUACACACCGCCCGUCACACCAUGGGAGUGGACUGCACCAGAAGUGGUUAGCC
This 694-nucleotide ribosomal RNA is filed under the name uncultured bacterium. RNAcentral describes it as "bacterial SSU rRNA". It matches the Rfam family "Bacterial small subunit ribosomal RNA", at positions 742 to 1435 of the family's 1533-position model. The record is from RNAcentral.